GGAUAGUUUUGGACUUCUUUAGUUCCUGGUUGCACUUCCUUGUUUGUUUGGUCACCAUGGUUACUUAUGAUUUCCACCUGCUUCUGUUUGGUGGGACACACCUGUGUCCAAUCAAGAGAGAAUAUUCAAGGCUGCCUUCUUGAUCACUCGUCCUGGCUUCCUUGUUUGUGUUUUCAUCCGGAGUGUCCAUGUUGCAUUGGAGGAACGACCUCGCAUAAAGAUGCAAGACCCCCACGUGACAACCUGAACCAUCUACUCACCUGUCACUGUCUUCGAGGCCGGUCCUGGCGCGUCCUGUUCUGCAGCAGGCCUGCAGGCCACGCCCCCCUCCACACAUGUACAGGUCACUCCGGCAGCAUCCGGGGGGGACAGAGGCCCACGUCAAGGCAGAGAAGGUUCUGGAGUCAGGAGUGGGAG
Nerophis ophidion (straightnose pipefish) is the source of this 417-nucleotide long non-coding RNA. RefSeq lists it as uncharacterized. The record is from RefSeq and is a predicted model, not a curated record. NCBI's taxonomy places the organism in Eukaryota, Metazoa, Chordata, Actinopteri, Syngnathiformes, Syngnathidae. The transcript is spliced from 3 exons.